Long non-coding RNA from Brassica rapa (field mustard), 2645 nucleotides. RefSeq lists it as uncharacterized. Lineage: Eukaryota; Viridiplantae; Streptophyta; Magnoliopsida; Brassicales; Brassicaceae. The record is from RefSeq and is a predicted model, not a curated record.
CUGAGUUCCGUCCUCUUUCUCUUGGGGGAACCAAUCAUAACCUCGACGGAUCCGUUCCCGCAAUUACUCGACGGAGUAACCCACUAUGAAAAUGGGAGGCAAUCAAUUUGUUCUUCAAUGCAGAAUUUUCACCUCCUAUCAAACAACUGUAAUAUAUAUAUAUAUGUCAUUGAGUUACUGGAUCAAAUUCAUAAAUCUUAACAUCGCAGUCAUGCAAAAGAACAAGAUUUAUGAAUUCUUCAGAGAUUUGCAGACCAGCUUGAUAUUUAACACGAUCAAUGUACACUAGAGUGGAGUUCUGCAAGAGAUUGUGUGGCGUCUGAGUGAUCAGAAGUAUUUACAGUGGAGAAAGCAGGUAGAACACACUAAGAGCUUGCUGUACGGUAUUAAGAUUCUUAAUACACAUAGAGAAUAGUGGAUGGUGUCAGUUGAUAUAUGAGAAGUUACCAAAAGAUAUCGCAAGCCUGACAUCUCAGGAAAUUCUGCAGUGAAUGUUAUAUCUAAUAUCUUUGCUUAUUAGCAAGGGAGUUCCAGAAUCGCAUAUUAUCUUUCUUAACGCCAUAGCAGCACCUCAAGGGAUUCACCGGCUCUGCAAGAAACAUCCAAUGGUAAAGAUUGUGACUUCAGAAAUCGAUGACUCCCGUGUGAUUCCAGGUCUGGGAGAAUUCGCAGACCAUUACUUUGGCAAAGAAUGAAAGUCUCAACGGGGCUUUCACGGUUAUCCAAGACAAGGAAAGGAUCUAUUACAACAUUCAAAAGAAGUGGACAAGUUGCAGCUCAUCUCGAAAAAGCUGCAAGACUAGCUAGGAAAAAAUAUUGAGGGACAAUAAAGUUCUCACCUCCUAACCUCGUUUCUAACUGCAGGUCACAAUCGCCAUAUCCACCUGCAUACGUAGCUCCGCAGAGAAGUGGGGAAUCUAGAAGUCUCCAAGAUUGUAAUGUUCAAACUUCUCUGAACCAGCUAAAGCUAAACAAAACAGAGCUUUCAGGAUUCAGCUUAUAAACUUUAAACGUCAACAAAGUAUGGCAACAAAGCCAAACACAUCGUCCAUGAACAGCAGCAGCACCACUUCAACCACGUCCAAAGAACAUAGGAACCAGGAAAAGCAACAGCUUCAGCAAUUGAGAUUUGGUAACAUGUCCUAUAUGUAAUACCUUAGUGUGGACCAGUGAACCAGUAAGGAUAGUCAACCACCAUGCCAAUAGGACGUUCUACAUAUGUUGUAACAAGGAAGUUGAGCGCCUACCACUCCGCGAACUUCCUUCACCUUUGAAAGAGCUCCUUGGCACACCAGGGUUCCGAGUUUUAAUAAGUGUUGCGAAUGGAAUGAUUGCUUUUACUUCAACGGGUGCUCAUGUCGAUCAUACUAUCACUGGACAACCUGGCCAUUCAUUUACCUAAUACAUGCUCAAAACCAACACCGUAUCUGUUCACUCUUGCAUGUUGACGAAGAACCCCCACAGUAUCUCCAGCUAUAUAUUUUUAUACUGUAAAUAAAAUAGAAAAAGAAGAAAGCCUUAUGAAAAGGAUCAUCAACUAUAAACUUAGACGACCAAGUUUCACAUUUGUCCCUCUCACCUUCGAUUGAUAUGUCAGUUAUCCUCAUCUUCGGUUUAAUUAUUUAUAAAUAAAUAUUUAAAUAAAACAGAGUUCUAAAUACAAAAUUGACGUAGCAUAGCUUAAUUUUGUGUGAAAUUUUCAGAAUAUAAAAAUUGACAGUUCUUUAAAAAAUAUAAAAGUUGAAAAUAUUUUUUUUAAAAAAAACAAAUCUAAAGUUUAAAAUACUUAUAUAAAAACUAAGAAAUAAAAAGAUGAGCCAAAAGAUUAAAAAAAAGGUUUGGAAGAGAAAAAAACAUGAAAGACACAAGUAUAUGGCUAAUGUCUGCAUAUUCAAGUUAUCAUACUUAAAUACAAAUUUUGUAGGAUAAAUAGAAAAAAAUUAGAACGAAAGAGAAAAAUCUAAUUAUAGUAUUGUUUUUGAAGUGUUAUCAUGAACUUUGCGUUUUUUACACUGAGCUCAAGUUAAAGAAAUUAGCAAAAAGAAAGAUGGAAACCAUAACGAAUGAUUAAUAAACCAUCAAAACAAAUAUUUUUAUAAAAAUUAUAUUAAAAUUAAAGUUUAGAAGAUAUAACAAAUAAAAAUGAAAAAUUAUUAAAAAUACAUAAUAUAAUUGCGAAAAUAAGUCAACAAACAAUAAUUUAGUGAAAUGCAUAUCUAAUCUAAAAUAUAUUUAAACUUCCAAAAUAUCUAAAACUCAUAACAAAAAAAAAGAGAUACAUUUGCGAUAUAAUUUUUCACAUUUCAUCAAACUCAAACCAAGGGAAAAAAAAUCUAUUCACGCAAAUAUUUCAAACUUUACAAAUUGAUAUGAAAUUGAUGGAAAAGCACAAGCAGUGAAUAUACAUACUCAAAACAUUUUAUUUUUUAAAGUAAAAUUAUCUAAGAAAUAAUAAUAAAAAUAUCCAUAGGACUAUCACCAACUAUCGACACACUUUUAAAGAAUCAAAAUGACAUCAUAACAUCAUUUCUUGAACUUUUAUAUUUAAACAAAUAACUACAAAGUUCUGACUAACCGCGAUACACAAAAGUCUACAAAAAAAAACAUACGAUAGUGGAUGAUCUCAAAUAAAUCAAUAAAACAAA